GGGGCCUUCAUCAAGAUUCAAGGUUUUUGAGUGCUCUUUCCAGUGAAGUUGGAAUCAAGACAUUUGGAUCCAUAUCCUGGAAACUACGCUCCCCCGAAUGAGAAGUGGUCCGAGGAGACUUGGAUUAUGCGAGAUGGUUCUGCGGCUUCGUUAACUCGCAGCACUUAUAGAUUUAAUUCUGGAAAUGAGGUGCGAGUUGAGAUAUGCGGGUAAGGAAACCCUGAGUGAGACCAAAC
RNAcentral lists this long non-coding RNA (236 nucleotides) under Eutrema salsugineum. RNAcentral describes it as "long non-coding RNA (ESAL_LNC000956)". Lineage: Eukaryota; Viridiplantae; Streptophyta; Magnoliopsida; Brassicales; Brassicaceae. The record is from RNAcentral.